This 253-nucleotide ribosomal RNA is filed under the name uncultured bacterium. Its description in RNAcentral is "partial 16S ribosomal RNA". It matches the Rfam family "Bacterial small subunit ribosomal RNA", at positions 524 to 776 of the family's 1533-position model. The record is from RNAcentral.
UACGGAGGGGGCUAGCGUUAUUCGGAAUUACUGGGCGUAAAGCGCACGUAGGCGGACCGGAAAGUUGGAGGUGAAAUCCCAGGGCUCAACCUUGGAACUGCCUUCAAAACUUCUGGUCUUGAGGUCGAGAGAGGUAAGUGGAAUUCCGAGUGUAGAGGUGAAAUUCGUAGAUAUUCGGAGGAACACCAGUGGCGAAGGCGGCUUACUGGCUCGAUACUGACGCUGAGGUGCGAAAGCGUGGGGAGCAAACAGG